This 495-nucleotide ribosomal RNA is filed under the name uncultured bacterium. RNAcentral's name for it is "partial 16S ribosomal RNA". It matches the Rfam family "Bacterial small subunit ribosomal RNA", at positions 28 to 507 of the family's 1533-position model. The record is from RNAcentral.
GACGAACGCUGGCGGCGUGCCUAAUACAUGCAAGUAGAACGCUGAGGGAGGGCCUUUCUUCUCUGGACGAGUUGCGAACGGGUGAGUAACGCGUAGGUAACCUGCCCGGUAGCGGGGGAUAACUAUUGGAAACGAUAGCUAAUACCGCAUAAUAGUUGAUGUUGCAUGACAUUUGCUUGAAAGGUGCGAUUGUAUCGCUACCAGUUGGAGCUUCGUUGCAUGAGGUAGGUGGUGGGGUAACGGCUCACCCAGGCGAAUAUACAGAGUAGAACGGAGAGGGGGGGCCGCCACACUGGGACUGAGACACGGCCCAGACUGCUAGGGGAAGCAGCCGUAGGGCAUCUUCGGGCAGGGGCGGAAGGCUGACCGAGCAACGCCGCGUGAGUGAAGAAGGGUUUCGGAUCGGAAAGCUCGGUUGUAAGGGAAGAAAGAGUGUGAGAGUGGAAAGUUCACACUGUGACGGUAUCUUACCAGAAAGCGACGGCUAACUACGUG